UGAAACCUCCACAACCAGCAGCUCAAGGUGUGGCAUGUGACCAUUGGAUGGAUGAUCCAAAGAAAGCGGAGGCGUCGCCGCGGGCCGCUCCAGAUCGAGAAGCGACCGACACUCCACCUCAAGGGCAGACCCCCCUCACCACCAACACAUCCGGUCGCAAAAAACAGCGUUCCCCACUAUGGCGGCCGCAAAAUCCACAGAUGGGGGAGGAUGCGCCACAGGGACGGAGGAAGUGCAGGCGGAGUCCGGGGAGGUAAAGAAGGAAGAGCAAAUGGCCAUGCCCG
RNAcentral lists this unclassified non-coding RNA (284 nucleotides) under Hevea brasiliensis (rubber tree). The record is from RNAcentral. Lineage: Eukaryota; Viridiplantae; Streptophyta; Magnoliopsida; Malpighiales; Euphorbiaceae.